Molecule: non-coding RNA, 86 nt
Filed under: Klebsiella planticola
Lineage: Bacteria; Pseudomonadati; Pseudomonadota; Gammaproteobacteria; Enterobacterales; Enterobacteriaceae
Source: RNAcentral
AUUUAUGGCGGGGCGUGGUGGGGAGGCUAACGCCUGCUGGUUUCUUGAACGCCAGUCUGUCAACCCUGCUACGUCUCGCCACCCAU